CAAUAGUCACAUAUGGAAGGGAUUGAGACAUACUUGAAGAGACCACAAAGCCUAGGGAUUCUAGUGCCAGCAGAAGAGGCUAAGCAACUCAAAGAUACGUUGACUUUGAUUGGGGUUCAUGUCUGUAGUCUAGAAAAUUUGUUACAAGCUAUCUUUUGAAGGUUGGUGAAGCUCUAGUAUCCUGAAAGUCAAAAACAGCGGGAAACUACGGUAAGAUGUUUAGCAGAAGCUGAGUUUAAGAGCAUGGCAUCAUGUGUAGUUGAAGUUACAUGUCUAUUAGGUCUGUUUAAGAAGCUUGGAGUUGAAUUACAUCAGCCUAUUGAUAUGUUCUGUGACAACAAAGUUGCAAACCAAAUAGUAGCUAAUCCUAUAUUUCAUGAAAGGACUAAACACACAUAUAUAGACUAUUAUUUUGUGAGAAAAACUGAGCUAAGGGAUAAUUACGACACACCAUAAAUCAAUAAGGGACGGAUUGUCAUAUCUAUUA
This 487-nucleotide long non-coding RNA is filed under the name Nicotiana benthamiana. RNAcentral's name for it is "long non-coding RNA (NBEN_LNC012614)". Lineage: Eukaryota; Viridiplantae; Streptophyta; Magnoliopsida; Solanales; Solanaceae. The record is from RNAcentral.